Molecule: transfer RNA, 86 nt
Filed under: Candidatus Gastranaerophilales bacterium
Lineage: Bacteria; Bacillati; Candidatus Melainabacteria; Candidatus Gastranaerophilales
Description: tRNA-Leu
Rfam family: tRNA
About the family: Transfer RNA (tRNA) molecules are approximately 80 nucleotides in length. Their secondary structure includes four short double-helical elements and three loops (D, anti-codon, and T loops).
Source: RNAcentral
GCCGAAGUGGCGAAACGGCAGACGCAGUUGACUCAAACUCAACCGGUGGCAACACCGUGUCGGUUCAAAUCCGACCUUCGGCACCA